This is a non-coding RNA of Zootermopsis nevadensis, 583 nucleotides long. The record is from RefSeq and is a predicted model, not a curated record. Lineage: Eukaryota; Metazoa; Arthropoda; Insecta; Blattodea; Termopsidae.
AAUUAUUCCUGAACUUGUCAAGGUUAACCCCACCCAGGGUUUUCGGAGUGGUAUAAAUACCUGUGUGAUCCCUUGUUUAAGUAUCAGAAGCUUAUUAGCAGUCUCUAGCAGCUACAAAGUCGCUAAGUCUCAACUCAGACAACAUGAAGGCCUUUUUCGCCCUUUUCCUCGCCCUGUUUGUCGUCGUGGCCGCCGUCUCCGCCGCCGAACCUGAGGCCAAGAAGGACUUGAAGGGAGCCGAGCAGUUUUACUACGCCGCGCCCUACGCAGCCCUCGGCGGCUAUCCCUACGGUUAUGCCGCAUACCCUGCCGCAUACUACUACCGCUGAUCGCCAUAGCCCGCUUUAACGGAAGACAUCUGGAUGACGACACUGCCCAUCUGAUUGUUCAACUGACGGACUUUUUAACCGCGGUCCGUUUCUUCAACAAUUGGAAACGAUAACUUGAAAGCGUCAACUCCUAAAGUACUGGGAAGAUACCGUUAAAAAAGCGGUAGAAGAUACGUCAAAAUUUAAGCAAUAAUUCUAUUUGUUUCUAUUUCUCUGUCUAUGUUUCCUUGUGGCAUUUAUAUUACUAUGCGGUU